UCAUUAUGAAUAUUGGGCCAGCAUAAUC
RNAcentral lists this small RNA (28 nucleotides) under Bombyx mori (domestic silkworm). RNAcentral's name for it is "ovarian small RNA-26314". Lineage: Eukaryota; Metazoa; Arthropoda; Insecta; Lepidoptera; Bombycidae. The record is from RNAcentral.